This 1922-nucleotide unclassified non-coding RNA is filed under the name Hevea brasiliensis (rubber tree). Lineage: Eukaryota; Viridiplantae; Streptophyta; Magnoliopsida; Malpighiales; Euphorbiaceae. The record is from RNAcentral.
CACUUUUGCUAAUGAGAUCGGAAACAGUUUUUGUAGUCCAGGAGAUGUUAAUACUGUACUGAGUGAUUCUCUUUCCAUUAUCUCGACAGUUAUGUCCAGGUAAGAGCUGUAGCAGUGCUUGUAUUUUACUUUUUAUGGCAAUCAUAUGCUGAGUGUUUCCUAUUCUGUGCAGAUGAUGUCCACUUAAUGUUUUUGACUAUGUGGACUGUUGGGCAAGACUUAAAACAAUCUUGAACUUCUUCUUUUGCUAGGGCUAGACGUGAAUUAUUAUGUGGAUAAGAGAAGAAGUAAUAUGAUAACUGACUUCACUUAUCAGUCUGUUUAGUCAAAUCACAAAUGCUUCACAUGCUUGACCAUGUCUCUCAAGAUCUUAAAACAGGUGUUAUGUUGUCAAUUUUGACAUUGAUACCGACUUACAAGUGUUGAGAUUAAGUGCAAACUGCCUUCCCCUUCCUCUUUUUAUUUCUAGUGAGAAUGCCCUCCCUCUCUUUCUCUUUCUAGUGAUAAUGCCUAAUGCUAUCUGCAUACUGUUGGCAGUUGAUCCUAUGGCACCCCCAUUUUGACUUGCCUCCCAUGCUAGUUGAGCGGGUGUGUGACUUGAGGGUAUCGCAACCGAAAUUUGUCAAUAUGACUGUCUUUUAAGAUAUAGCCUUGAAUGUCAUCCAUUUCAGGGCAACUGCUCCUGAAAUUUGUCAACAUGGCUGUGUGUUUUGUGAUAUAGCGUUGAAUGACUUGAGAUAGCAUUUGAGAUUUAUCACUAUUGUUAUAUUUCUGCAGAUUCUAUCCAUUGAUGAAAAUGGGGCAGAUACUUACUUCUUUUGAAGUUAAGCCUGGAUAUGGAGCAUAUGUAAUUGAUUUUCACAUUUCAAAGAAUACAAAACACUCUCCACAGGAAAAAAUAGUAAGCAUCUCAUAACUUUGAUUUUGUAGUCUAUGGUGGUGUAAGAUGCAAUGUUUCACGUAAAAUCUCUCUAGCUGCAUCUUCUGAUUUUAUGAUCCAGUUCAUUGUAAUCUUGUAUGAUCAUCUAAAUUAGUUCACCUGAGUUUAGCUCUAAAUCAAAACUUUUGUUACUGCAACUAUUUGCUAGAGUUGUUGCAAUAGUUUCCUUCUAAAGAUAUGUCCUUCUAGCUGAUUCAUGUCUUUAUUGCUUUAAUACUUUUCUCAGUAAUUUUUUGGUCCAUUAAAAUGUGUUGUCUGUUUUCUGCUGGCUUCAUUUUAUGAACCGAGAUGAACUAGUUAAUGCAAAUCACAUUUUCUGGUGAUGAACAUUUAAUUUUGGGAUUGCCACUGUGGAGGUCAUCAAUUAUAGUAGCAUAUCAAAAGCUGUGUUGUAUUACAGUAAAUUCCAAGUGAUAGACAUGAUCAAUUGAGCAGACAAAUUGCAGCACUUAGUCCUUGGUUUCCAUCUUUACAUAUGCUUUUUUUUUCUCCCCUUUAGGGUACUCAGAAUAGGAUGAUUGUUUAUGGAAGUCAUUCUGUAUUUUACUCUUCCCAUUGUCUUGUUUUCUCUUUGUGGUCUACAGCGGUUGUUUGUCGUACAGAGAGAUAAUACAGAGACACCUGCUUGUAUUAUUAGUCCACAACAAGUGAAGUGGGAACCAUCCUUCUCAUCCCUUGAUUUACUUUGUUGGUUUAGUUGUUAGAAUAUAUUUUGAUCACUUUUUUCUUUUCACCGUUGUAGUUUUCUGUUAAAUGGAAAGGGAGUAGAGAGAAGAACUAACGUUUCAAUGGACACUGGACCACAGCUUCCAACAAAUGUGACAGCAAUGCUUAAAUAUGGAACAAAUCUUCUUCAAGCAGUUGGCCAGUUCAAUGGUCAUUAUAUCAUAGCUGUUGUUUUUAUGAGUGUGACACCAUUACCGGAGACUCCUGUGCUGCUAGAUUAUGUUGAGUCUGAUGUUGCUGCAGCAGAUCCAGGUAC